GGAAGGAGAAGUCGUAACAAGGUUUCCGUAGGUGAACCUGCGGAAGGAUCAUUGUCGAAACCUGCCUAGCAGAGCGACCCGAGAACGAGUUUCAAUCCCGGGGGGACUUGGGGUCCUCGCGGGCUCCGCGUCCCCCCUCGUCUUGGGAGGCCAGCCGCUCAUUCGUGCCGGCGACCCUCCCGGGCGUAUAAAACGAAAGACGGCCGCGAAUUGCGCCAAGGAACUUGAAUGAAAGAGCGCGCCCCUGCCGCCCCGGAAACGGUGCGCGUGCAGGCGGCGUCGUCGUCUUCAAUAUGUCAAAACGACUCUCGGCAACGGAUAUCUCGGCUCUGGCAUCGAUGAAGAACGUAGCGAAAUGCGAUACUUGGUGUGAAUUGCAGAAUCCCGUGAACCAUCGAGUCUUUGAACGCAAGUUGCGCCCGAAGACAUUAGUCCGAGGGCACGCCUGCCUGGGCGUCACAUGUCGUUGCCCACCCCCCGGUCAUCUCCCUUGGGAAUGCGGAGUGGGGUGGGACGGAUGGUGGCCUCCCGUGCGCUCUGCCGCAUGGCUGGCAUAAAUACCAAGUCCCCAGGGACGAGCGCCACUACAAUCGGUGGUUGUUAAACCUAUCGGUGGCACGUUGUGCGUCGCUGCUUUGGGGGGCUCGUGAGACUCUGCGCUUUGCUUCGGCGGUGCUUUCAACGCGACCCCAGGUCAGGUGGGGUUACCCGCUGAAUUUAAGCAUAUCAU
This 730-nucleotide unclassified non-coding RNA is filed under the name Exochorda racemosa. RNAcentral's name for it is "partial contains small subunit ribosomal RNA, internal transcribed spacer 1, 5.8S ribosomal RNA, internal transcribed spacer 2, and large subunit ribosomal RNA". The stretch from base 304 to 459 matches the Rfam family "5.8S ribosomal RNA". The record is from RNAcentral. Lineage: Eukaryota; Viridiplantae; Streptophyta; Magnoliopsida; Rosales; Rosaceae.